AUUGAACGCUGGCGGCAUGCCUUACACAUGCAAGUCGAACGGCAGCACGGGGCAACCUGGUGGCGAGUGGCGAACGGGUGAGUAAUGCAUCGGAACGUGCCCAGACGUGGGGGAUAGCCCGGCGAAAGCCGGAUUAAUACCGCAUACGAUCUAAGGAUGAAAGCGGGGGACUCGCAAGGGCCUCGCGCGUUUGGAGCGGCCGAUGGCAGAUUAGGUAGUUGGUGGGGUAAAGGCUUACCAAGCCUGCGAUCUGUAGCUGGUCUGAGAGGAUGAUCAGCCACACUGGGACUGAGACACGGCCCAGACUCCUACGGGAGGCAGCAGUGGGGAAUUUUGGACAAUGGGCGCAAGCCUGAUCCAGCCAUUCCGCGUGCAGGACGAAGGCCU
This 387-nucleotide ribosomal RNA is filed under the name uncultured bacterium. RNAcentral describes it as "bacterial SSU rRNA". It matches the Rfam family "Bacterial small subunit ribosomal RNA", at positions 29 to 417 of the family's 1533-position model. The record is from RNAcentral.